This is a non-coding RNA of Hymenolepis diminuta, 113 nucleotides long. Lineage: Eukaryota; Metazoa; Platyhelminthes; Cestoda; Cyclophyllidea; Hymenolepididae. The record is from Rfam.
CUGAGUAAUAUAUUUAAUACAUAAUUCUCUUUACAGGUAUGAUCGUGGGAGCCAUGUGCGCGAUAACUGGUGUGCUAACUAUCUCCUUACCCGUGCCAGUCAUUGUUUCCAAU